UGUGGUUCAAUUCGAUGCUACACGUAGAACCUUACCUGGGUUUGACAUGUACGUGGUAGAGAAGCGAAAGCGGAUUGACCCUUCGGGGAGCGUACACAGGUGCUGCAUGUCUGUCGUCAGCUCGUGCCGUGAGGUGUCGGGUUAAGUCCCGUAACGAGCGCAACCCUUAUCCUUAGUUGCACGUAUCUAGGGAGACUGCCGGCGGGUAGCCGGAGGAAGGUGGGGAUGACGUCAAGUCAGCAUGGCCCUUAUGUCCAGGGCUACACACACGCUACAAUGGCCGGUACAAAGGGCAGCAAAGUCGCGAGGCGGAGCGAAUCCCAACAAAGCCGCUCGUAGUUCGGAUUGCAGGCUGCAACUCGCCUGCAUGAAGCUGGAGUUGCUAGUAACCGCGCGUCAGCUAUAGUGCCCCGAAUACGUACCCGGGUCUUGUACACACCGCCCGUCACGUCAUGGAAGUCGGUAACGCCUGAAGGCGGUAGCAUAGCUCGGAAGAGGGGGCGCUGUCGAAGGCGGGAC
This 519-nucleotide ribosomal RNA is filed under the name uncultured organism. RNAcentral describes it as "bacterial SSU rRNA". It matches the Rfam family "Bacterial small subunit ribosomal RNA", at positions 940 to 1468 of the family's 1533-position model. The record is from RNAcentral.